UUUGAUACUUUCAUUUCAAUUGCAUCGUCUUAAAGUACAAAACUAACAAGAUUCGUGAAAUUUUAAAAACUAAAAGAAAAUUCAAUUAUUAAGUUCAUCACAAUAACUACAUAAAAGCUUGAUAAUUAACGACAUAUACAAAUACUUUUACGACACCUCAUAUGAUGAGGAUAUGGGCAAAGACGGUUUGGACAAUCCUUAUCACGAACACAUAUACCACCCACUGUAAUGUAAAAAGAAAAUUUAAAAAGGAAUUAAUGUUACUAAAAUGGGAUAUUAUAUAUUAUGUAUAUGAAGGAAAUUUUUUUGCAGAGGAGAUAAUACUUACCAUCAAGGUUUGUUGCAACAAAAAAUAGGGAAAGAAGAAUAAUCAUAAAAACAGUAAACUUGACAAUUUUAGCCAUAUUUUCAAACCUUUAAAUGAUCAAAUAGAAUUUGAUUUUAUCAGUUUUCAAUUUAUAAAGCUCAUGUGUUAUCCUUGCAUCAAUCAAAUGUUUUUAUGCAUAUAGAGUAGUAAAAGGACUUUCUAAAAUUUUAAUAAUUAUUAAAUGUCUCUUAAGUAUUAAAAUGCGUUAAUAUACCCCUUUAGCACGUUUAGUAAGGAGGUCACAUAAAACUUUAAAUCAUAAUAAUUCGUUUAUAUUUAUUUAUUUUUUUUACCAAAACUUCAUUAUUUUUAUAACCUUUGAUGAUAGAAAAUGAAAAAUAAAAAAAAAAACAUGAAUAAUAUUAUUCGAAACACACUAAACUACAUAGUUAUAAUUGUGUAAGAGCCACGAUAGUUUAUAAACCAUAUGUUACUCUUCGAAUCUGAGAUCUGGAUGAUAGGUUAGUGGUGAGUAUGAAUUGUUGGUGUUUGUUUAUGAUGGUACUUCGUUGUUAAAGAGUGGGUGGUACUUGCAUAUACUCCGAUUAUCAAGUUUGUAGAUGUCAUGUCCGUUGUGAAAAAUGUAUCAAUAUUAUGACAUAAUAAUGAAAUUAUACAUGACAAAAAAAAAAAAAAUUAUAGGCUUAGAACAAACAUAAAUACUAGCUUUCAUCUUAACUAUUAAAGAUAUUUUAAUAGACACUAAGUUGUAUCAAUAUUAUGACAUAAUAAUGAAAUUAUACAUGACAAAAAAAAAUGAAAUUAUAGGCUUAGAACAAACAUAAAUACUAGCUUUCAUCUUAACUAUUAAAGAUAUUUUAAUAGACACUAAGGUAGAAAAGAUAGUGUAACAUGUCUGAAUUGAUAUUCCAUAAAAAAAAAUGUCUGAAUUGAUAUUAACGAAGACAAUAUAUAUAAUAUUUUUUGAUACUUUAUUAUAUUACUAGACCCUUAUUCGUGCGAUGCACGGGUGUGAUGCGUUGUUUUAUAUUAUAACGUGGAAAAAUUAAAAUACUAAAUAUUAUCAAAAUAAUAAAUAAUAAUAAUAAUAAUAAAAUAGAGGAUCCGAGAUUCAAACUCCAAUCAUAGUAUUUUUAAAAGUUGAGUUGAAAUAAGCAAUGAUACAACAAAAGUGAAAAAUAGAAGUCUUUAUUCUCUUCUCCCAAGUCACAUAAAAAAAGAAAUCAUAAAUCACAAUAAGAUUAAAGGAAUUAAAAAAUAAAUAAAGUUAGAAAAUAUUAGUUUUAAAGUUACAUGAGCAACUGUUUUUUAUAGACUUCCCGAACAAUAAUGAUGCAACAAAAGUGAAAAAUAGAAGCCUUCCAUUUACAUGAAAAAUAGUUAUGAGUAAACUU
Molecule: long non-coding RNA, 1722 nt
Filed under: Trifolium pratense (red clover)
Lineage: Eukaryota; Viridiplantae; Streptophyta; Magnoliopsida; Fabales; Fabaceae
Description: long non-coding RNA (TPRA_LNC011722)
Source: RNAcentral